CCUACUUUAUUAUAGGAAGCCCAAAGGAAGGAUAUCUCUCGCGUGUUGGAAAAGUGAAGCCUACUUUGCUCACCUUUCCUCCGAUUUCGCAUCUUCCAAGUGGACCCAGGGGGGCCAUCUGGUGAGCGAAAUAAUGACACGCCCUCCGAAAUUUCGAAUGUUAUGGUUUGGGGGGAUUACCCUGUAAUUUAUGAACGCACCAUUAAUAUGUUGCCGUGAGGGAUUUCAUGACAAUGUUACAUGGAACGGUGGACAUUAUUGUUUAGUGAAUGGCCCUUCGUAGCCAUUUAACACGUCCUAUCGUCCAAUCUGAUUCCAUUCCUUCGCGAAUGAAAUCAUAUCGAUAGAAACGUAAACAAAUCCGUGUUUUCAAAUAUCGCCACUAGACGAUAAAUUGGCUCCCGUGGGUCCACUUAGGGCGGAGCCAAAUAAGAGGAAGGGAACCCAAAUUGGCUUCCAAAAAAAACCCAAACCGUUGGGCUUCCUAUAAUAAAGUAGGCUAUGACUAACUUAAGCUUAAGAUUCAAAACUCAUUACUAGAUGUCGCCUGUGUCGCCCUUGUUGUUCUCUUAUCGUGAUUCGUGAAACGAGGCGAAACAAUUUGUUGCUAAUUUAUACUUAUAUUCAUGUGAUUUCAAAUACCAAAUUGAACUUCGCAAAUUAUAUGUGGAUACUGUCAGUCAUUCCAACAAGUUGACUUAGCGCUCAGUCACUUUCCAUCCAAUAGGCCCAUCAUGCUGUCAAAUGCCUAAAACUCAUGUGUGAAGCUCACAUCAUAGAAUACAAAUGUGUGGAGACAAGGUAUUUCCCCAUUACUGCUACCACACCAACCACACCACGUCAAAUGCCAAAUUCAGCACCAUUCACCCAUAUGAUCAAGCAUCAGGAAAUUUACCUCAACCUAAGGAGUAAGGCUGUUGGUUGCUGUGAUUUCCUUUUUUGCGGUUUUUAUCAUGGAAACUUCAGUGUGCUUCUUAGUAUAGCACAUAAUAGAUCCUUAAGCCAAUGCUGACCUUUGUCCAUGAAGGAAGAGGGACAUCCAGCAACGUUCUGCUCCAUCCUUAUCUUCCCCACGUACGCUCAUCUAGCUUCAUUGCUUUUGCUGCUACAACUUGUCUUACUUCACCGACGAGUUGGAACACUUCAGUGGUCGCUGCCCUUAGCUGUUCCACACCUGCAGUUACUCACCACGGGAUUAUGCCUAGGUAAUGCAGAGGAAACGUCGAGAAGAUGGACACCAAAACAUCGCCGG
Daphnia pulicaria is the source of this 1252-nucleotide long non-coding RNA. RefSeq lists it as uncharacterized. The transcript is spliced from 5 exons. The record is from RefSeq and is a predicted model, not a curated record. Lineage: Eukaryota; Metazoa; Arthropoda; Branchiopoda; Diplostraca; Daphniidae.